Long non-coding RNA from Chelonia mydas (Green sea turtle), 3112 nucleotides. RefSeq lists it as uncharacterized. Lineage: Eukaryota; Metazoa; Chordata; Testudines; Cheloniidae. The record is from RefSeq and is a predicted model, not a curated record. The transcript has 3 exons.
CCUCUGACUGCUAGAUCACUAGAUAACUGCCCUGUUCUGUUCAUUGCCUCGGAAGCAUCUGGCACCGGCCACUGUCGGAAGACAGGAUACCGGGCUGGAUGGACCAUUUGUCUGACCCAGUAUGUCAGUUCUUAUGCCAGAAUCAUGACUGGUAAGUACUGAAUCCAAGGGAAGAGAGUUCUCUGUGUUAUUUGUUUGAUUCCCUUUUAGGUAAGACUCUAGACCAGGCACCGCAAGCUCUGACAGGAAUUGCUAAACACCACAAAAGAAUGGGGAACUCACCAAACACACCAGCACAUGAAACCAAUAUGCGGAUUGAAAUCUCAUUCUUGUUAUUAUUUAUUAUUUGUAUUAUAUCAUCUAGAAUCAACCAACUGAGAUAAGCACCCUAUCGUGCGAGUUAGUAUGCAAACGUUAAUGAAUUAAUCCUUGGAACACCCUUGGGAGAUGUGUGGAAGGCUCCUUGCUGUCUGUGGGUGGUGUCUGGUGAGCUGACCCAAGAGCACAGAUUAUCUAAAGCAUGACCAGCUAUAUCCAUUUGACGGUGCAUAGAAGGCUCCUUGCUGUCUACGGGUGGUGUCUGGUGAACUGACCCAAGAGCACAGAUUAUCUAAAGCACAACCGGCAGUAAGAAAGGAAAAACCACAAAGAUGAUCUGUGUUGUGAUUAGCUAAAGGACUCUAAUGGUAAUGAAGUAUGUCACGAACUCUGUGGCUCCUUUGCUGAGGAUCAAAUAUCAGUACAUUUGCUUAAGCAUGUACUAUGGCCCUGCAAGUUACAGUAAAUAGACCUCUUUACUUUGGGGCAUAAUAGCUAGGAUUUGGGUCCUUCUGAGCAGCAAGCUCUCGUAUCCCAAGAGUUAAAGGAAACAGCAAACGACAAGCAGGUGGGGAUGGGAGUCACCUCAGGAACAUUUUCAGACGGCUGAAUCUGAAUGUUGCUUAGGAACCUACUGGAACCUAAAACUGCUUCUCCUGAUCAGUUGUGACAGAAAACUAAACUCUUCAUAGUUGCCUCAAUAUAAGCAGGAUCUGAAGCCAUUCCUCAGCGAGAUCAUUUAUUGGGAGCACCAAAACAGUCACCAUUAAUAAUACUAAUAACUACUGAGCACAGAUGGGGAGUGUUUCCAGAGUGUUUCACAAAAAUUAACUAAUAUGUUCUCACAAUGCCCCGUGCCUCUGUUUCCCCAUGUGUAAAACAGAGGUUGCAACAUUCAGCUACCUCACAGGGUGGGAUAUAGGCAUUAGUUAAGGUUUGUAAAGGACUCUAAAAAAAAGUCCCAUUAAUAGAUCUCAUGAGCCUAAGCUAUGCUGGGUUGGAGAGAAGGAGCCUUUCCUCCUCUCCAACAUGAAUAGCAGUGCCUGGCGGCAGGAAAGGGCCUAACACCUCUAAAGGGAGUAGUCUGAGGACAGGAGGGGAGGAAUUUGCUUUGCUACAGCCUUGUGGCAGGAAUAUCUAGCACUCCUCACCCCCUAGUGCAGCCACAGCCCCUACCCUCACCUUACCAGAAAAACCUCUCUCUGAGCGGCUAACAGCAUGAGCAUUACCCCAACUUGCAACCUAGUGCUGCAAGACAGGUGAUGCUUGGCCCCUGACGGGGGUGAGGGAUGCCAAUGUGCUGAAUAUAUUGAAAAGAAAUUCGAGCUACACAUCCAGGCAUCAUCUUAAGUAUUAAAGCCUUGAUCCUGCAAGCCCUUAGAUGAUGCACCAUAACUGCUGCACUCCAGCCCAAGUGCAAAUGGCAGAUAGAUAGGGGCACAUGUAAGGUUCCACUUUAGGCAUCAUCCUCUACACCAGUGGCUCUCAAACUUUGGGGUGGAGGUUGACAGCUCACGACACCCCCCCCCCCCAAGUAAUAACCUCGUGACCCCCUGAGGGGUCCCAACCCCCAGUUUGAGAACCCCCGCUUUACACUGAAGCUCUCAAGCCCUCUGAAUACCUGCUCUCUUAAUCACAGGAACACAAGGUACGGUAGGAUAUGAAAGGGGACACGGUGUGUCUGGGAGAACCUGGGUUGAAGUGCAAGGAUCCUCGGGUUAAUGAGGGAUAAGCUACAUGCUUCCCCUCUUAGGCCUCAAACCUGCUACUAGGAAGGAGUAACCUGGCACUCAGAUUAAUGCAGCAAAAAGAUUCCCUGCUCUCUUGGUCCUGCUCACCACCUUGCUCUUAUCCUUGCAACACUCCACAGACGCACUGCGCAGGAGCCAGACCUAAGUGACCGUUAAAGGCGCCCAGGGCUAGAAUACAAAUACAAUCUGACACUGGCUCUGGAAGCCAGAGAUAAAUAUGUGAUUUGACUUAUGUUGAUGAUACAUGUAAAUAACAGCAUGUAGCCUCCGUGAUCUCAACGUGCAUUGGCUAGGGCCAAUGUAAAUUACCAAAUUAAUGGUGUUGGAGGUCUGGUGUCAGAAGGCGGCUUUGUACUCCAGAGCAAUUCACCCAUCUAUUAGUGUUUUGCAUGUUGGUUGUAUGGGAUCUCAAGUUACAAAACUAUCCUUCCUUCUGCAUAACUGUUAGAUAUUUUUAGCACACUGUGUAUAAUGAAUUCUUCACAAAGCAGAACUUAACAGAGCCACAACACACCUUUGUUUUAAUUCCCUGCAGGAAUGACCUAUUAAAGCUAAACUAUGAGCAUGGCGCCGUAUUCUCAGCCAUGGGCAAGCUGAUCUAAUUAACUCCCCAUCCCAGAUAAGCACCCAAUUUUUUCAACCCCUAUAGAGAGCUAUUGGCUAGGCCUAGCAGCUCUGGAAUAAAAGUCUUCUUAAACUGUACUAGGGUCUUAAAUUGACCCCUGAUUUCCAAUUUAUGAGAGCUACAUCCGGGGGUGACUUUCCAGGGGUUGCUCUACAAAAUUUUGGGUAUGCUGCAAAUUUAUUGAUGCCUCUUAGGCAGCCCACUCUCCUGGAAAGUCACCUCCUCUGGCUUCUUCCCAGUUGUAGAGUUCAAUCCUCCAUUACUCUAGCAGGAUGCACAACUCUCUUACUGUAGCCCAAGCUCUAUAUUACUCUUGAGGAACUGCCACCUUUCUCAGAACAAUCUUGCCCACCCCCCCUUUUUUAUAUUUUUUCACUCUUCUCACUCACUGUUUCCAUUGUUCAAUGUUGUUUUCUCU